GGACGGGCCUCCCCGCAUGGCGGUUUGGAUAACCUGGUCAGGUCGGGAACGAAGCAGCCAAACCCAAUUCUGUCAGUGCCGGGGGUCGGGCUCGUCCACCC
Molecule: signal recognition particle RNA, 101 nt
Filed under: Polynucleobacter duraquae
Lineage: Bacteria; Pseudomonadati; Pseudomonadota; Betaproteobacteria; Burkholderiales; Burkholderiaceae
Description: Bacterial signal recognition particle RNA
Rfam family: Bacterial small signal recognition particle RNA
About the family: The signal recognition particle (SRP) is a universally conserved ribonucleoprotein involved in the co-translational targeting of proteins to membranes. Archaeal SRP consists of a 7S RNA and homologues of the eukaryotic SRP19 and SRP54 proteins.
Source: RNAcentral